GCAUUUGCAACCUGAGCUCAGACGUGAUUACCCGCUGAACUUAAGCAUAUCAUUUAGCGGAGGAAAAGAAACUAACUAAGAUUCCCUUAAUAACGGCAAAGUGAGAAAGAAA
This 112-nucleotide ribosomal RNA is filed under the name Heterorhabditis sp. EPNKU45. RNAcentral describes it as "partial 28S ribosomal RNA". It matches the Rfam family "Eukaryotic large subunit ribosomal RNA", at positions 1 to 104 of the family's 3401-position model. The record is from RNAcentral. Lineage: Eukaryota; Metazoa; Nematoda; Chromadorea; Rhabditida; Heterorhabditidae.